GGAUUUUUAGAACAACAAUGUUGGAAGGUCCUCUCAUUUCCCAACAAUCACUGCUGUUAUAAAUAUAGUUCGCAUACAGUAUCAUGUACGACAAGUAUAUAGAGAUAACCGAAAAUACUAAAACAACGACAGUAACAGGUGCUCUCAUCAUUCACUAGAUGUCAAAAAUUUGUUGGAGAAGGUAGCAAAUUACAGUCACAAAUCCCACAUAAAUGCAGGAGAGGCCUACAAUAAGUUACUUUACCCACCAGAAAAACAGCCCACCUACACAUCCUACCUGAAGAAUUUAUUGAUCUCCACCAGCAAUUGACAAUUGGAAAAACAAUGCGGAAUGAUGCUACAAAUCCAUAAAAUUUGCUAGAUUUUGAGAAUGCAAACCCAAAAAAUGGCCCUCCUACUUAACGAUUUUCACAGCCUGUCUCUUCUUCAUCAAAUCAGCUUUUGCUUCCAUCUUCACCGGCACUGGAGCUGAGAAAACUAAACUUCCAUAUUGAUCCUGGCAAGCCCUAUGAAUUUCAUAAUCAUUUCUUAUAGGAUUCCCCUCACCAUCACUGCUCUGUGUAGAUGCUGCAUUCUCUUCCUCAAAAACUUCACCAUCCUCAGUACCUUUAGAGAUCCCCUUUCUCUCUUC
Molecule: unclassified non-coding RNA, 631 nt
Filed under: Hevea brasiliensis (rubber tree)
Lineage: Eukaryota; Viridiplantae; Streptophyta; Magnoliopsida; Malpighiales; Euphorbiaceae
Source: RNAcentral